This 262-nucleotide ribosomal RNA is filed under the name uncultured bacterium. RNAcentral's name for it is "partial 16S ribosomal RNA". It matches the Rfam family "Bacterial small subunit ribosomal RNA", at positions 1230 to 1500 of the family's 1533-position model. The record is from RNAcentral.
AUGGCAGGUACAGAGGGAUGCUACCGGGCGACCGGAUGCGGAUCUCGAGAGCCUGUCCCAGUUCGGACUGGAGUCUGCAACCCGACUCCACGAAGUUGGAUUCGCUAGUAAUCGCGCAUCAGCCAUGGCGCGGUGAAUACGUUCCCGGGCCUUGUACACACCGCCCGUCAAGCCAUGGGAGCCGGGGGCGCCUGAAGUCCGGGACCGCGAGGACCGGCCUAGGGCGAAACUGGUAACUGGGGCUAAGUCGUAACAAGGUAAC